AAUGAUCAUACAAUUUUGCUCUUGCUUGUAGUGUUAUCGAACUUGUAAUAGGGGGAGGGAUAUAGUUUAUAACAAUAAGAGCAUUGUCAAGUUAUCUUGUACAGUUGUUUCUGACCUUGGCUACAAUUACAUGAAUCAUGUAGAAGUUGGCAAGGAGGAGGUAAGAAUCUUGCCUUUUCUGUUAUUGCUAUAUUUGCAAUAAGCAAUUUAUAGUUAUGAAUCUAUGGUAUUGAUUGUUAUUAUUGUUCUACAAAAAAUAAUGUACUCGUACAAAUGGAGAAACAGGAUAUGCACCUGAGAGCCCUCUAUUUGACUAACAUACUCCCUUUUGAUCUCCCCCAUACCUUCAUAUCAAAGCUGGGAAUGAUUGACUUUCGGAUUAUUCUGACAGUUAGUAGAGAGAACGACUCGUGACACAAUCUAAAUCAAAGGCAUGUUUCUAUGGACUCUGCCAAAAAGAACUUAGCAAAAUAUGUUCUUUACUUGAUAUAUAAUUGUAAAAAAUAAAUAUAAAUGCAUGACAUUGAAAGUGUUUUGCAACCAUCUGUAAUAUUGACAUUGCCAUCCAACAUGAGUCAUACGCUAACUUUUCUUUUUCGCAUCUGUCCAUCACCUCCCGGAGAAGCCAAAAUAAGUAGUUUGGAAGAUUAUAAUUCACAAUAAAGUUCCUGCAAGUUCAUAUACAUUAUUAUUUCAUUAAUAAGAAAUAACCAAACAACCAUUGUGCAAGAAAUGAGAAACAAAGAGUCAAUGGCUAAGUAUUCGGUAUUUGAAUUUCAUCACUGAACUAUGAACUAUCACCAACUAUUUGUCAAAACACAAGUCAACCAUCAAUAGUUUACUUCUCCAAUGUGAACAUAUAGUGAUAUUUCAGAUAAGAAACUCACUUCUCCUUCAGU
RNAcentral lists this long non-coding RNA (899 nucleotides) under Solanum tuberosum (potato). RNAcentral describes it as "long non-coding RNA (STUB_LNC006130)". The record is from RNAcentral. Lineage: Eukaryota; Viridiplantae; Streptophyta; Magnoliopsida; Solanales; Solanaceae.